This 209-nucleotide unclassified non-coding RNA is filed under the name soil metagenome. RNAcentral describes it as "partial contains 5.8S ribosomal RNA, internal transcribed spacer 2, and large subunit ribosomal RNA". The record is from RNAcentral.
AACACUGUUAACCUGCGGUACCUGCGGAGGGAUCAUUACCGAGUUACCAAACUCAAACCCACCGUGAACCUGAAACCGUUGCUUCGGCGGGCGCCUCCCCCGGGAGAGCCCGCCGGAGGUAUACCACACUAGUCUCUACUGCGGCGUGCCGCAUCUUGUCCUCUGAAUAAAGCUUCAAAAAAAAAGUCAAAACUUUCAACAAUGGAUCU